UGAUGAUCACCAGAGGGCAGAUUAGAGCAUCCUUAGAAUUAUCGGACAGUCAGCCCUCCUUCUAGGGGUGGAGAAAGAAAGGGCAAGCUCAUAUCUUUCUUCAGAGAGGUGUGGUGAGAGGCCAGUUCCUGAAGAUGCUGGUGCUUCUGCUGCUUCUGGGACCCAGCUCUGGCCUUGGCGCUCUCGUCUCUCAGCAGCCCCGCAGAGCUGUCAGGAAGAGCGGCGACUCUGUGACCAUCCAGUGCCGUGCAGUGGACUUUCAAACCACAACUGUGUUCUGGUACCGUCAGCUCCCGAAACAAGGCCUCGUGCUGAUGGCAGCUUCUAAUGAAGGCACUGAUGCCACAUACGAACAAGGUUAUAACAAAGACAAGCUUCCCAUCAGUCAGCCAAACCUAACAUUUUCAUCUCUGACGGUGACAAGUGUGGAUCCUGCCGACAGCAGCCUCUACUUCUGCGGUGCUAGAGACACAGCGCUGGGUGGAGAUCAGAGAGCCAGACAAGAAUCUUGGUAGCAUCCCCCUUCCCCAUCCCACUGAACCAUGGGGCCCCGUGGAGGGAGGUGUGGAGAGAGAAAAGCCACAGCCUCGCUGACUGAGUCAUCUGUGGCUCUGUGUGUAGAGAGAGAAAGAGAGAGAAAAUGUCUGAGUACAGAGUGGGGAGAAGGUAUGGUGUUUGAGAACUAGCCGUAUGGGAAUGGGGCUAGGCCUAUAAA
Molecule: non-coding RNA, 715 nt
Organism: Odocoileus virginianus texanus
Lineage: Eukaryota; Metazoa; Chordata; Mammalia; Artiodactyla; Cervidae
Source: the annotation of a RefSeq genome assembly